UCCGUUGGUGAACCAGCGGAGGGAUCAUUACCGAGUUUACAACUCCCAAACCCCUGUGAACAUACCUAUACGUUGCCUCGGCGGAUCAGCCCGCGCCCUGUAAAAAGGGACGGCCCGCCCGAGGACCCUAAACUCUGUUUUUAGUGGAACUUCUGAGUAAAACAAACAAAUAAAUCAAAACUUUCAACAACGGAUCUCUUGGUUCUGGCAUCGAUGAAGAACGCAGCAAAGUGCGAUAAGUAAUGUGAAUUGCAGAAUUCAGUGAAUCAUCGAAUCUUUGAACGCACAUUGCGCCCGCCAGUAUUCUGGCGGGCAUGCCUGUUCGAGCGUCAUUUCAACCCUCAAGCUCAGCUUGGUGUUGGGACUCGCGGUAACCCGCGUUCCCCAAAUCGAUUGGCGGUCACGUCGAGCUUCCAUAGCGUAGUAAUCAUACACCUCGUUACUGGUAAUCGUCGCGGCCACGCCGUAAAACCCCAACUUCUGAAUGUUGACCUCGGAUCAGGUAGGAAUACCCGCUGAACUUAAGCAUA
Molecule: ribosomal RNA, 530 nt
Filed under: uncultured fungus
Lineage: Eukaryota; Fungi
Description: eukaryotic LSU rRNA
Rfam family: 5.8S ribosomal RNA (bases 179-332)
Source: RNAcentral